AGUGAACGCUGGCGGUAGGCCUAACACAUGCAAGUCGAACGGCAGCACAGUAAGAGCUUGCUCUUACGGGUGGCGAGUGGCGGACGGGUGAGGAAUACAUCGGAAUCUACUUUUUCGUGGGGGAUAACGUAGGGAAACUUACGCUAAUACCGCAUACGACCUACGGGUGAAAGCAGGGGAUCUUCGGACCUUGCGCGAUUGAAUGAGCCGAUGUCGGAUUAGCUAGUUGGCGGGGUAAAGGCCCACCAAGGCGACGAUCCGUAGCUGGUCUGAGAGGAUGAUCAGCCACACUGGAAGUGAGACACGGUCCAGACUCCUACGGGAGGCAGCAGUGGGGAAUAUUGGACAAUGGGCGCAAGCCUGAUACAGCCAUACCGCGUGGGUGAAGAAGGCCUUCGGGUUGUAAAGCCCUUUUGUUGGGAAAGAAAAGCAGCAGGUUAAUACCCCGCUGUUCUGACGGUACCCAAAGAAUAAGCACCGGCUAACUUCGUG
RNAcentral lists this ribosomal RNA (492 nucleotides) under uncultured bacterium. RNAcentral's name for it is "partial 16S ribosomal RNA". It matches the Rfam family "Bacterial small subunit ribosomal RNA", at positions 29 to 507 of the family's 1533-position model. The record is from RNAcentral.